UCCUAAGACCAAAUCACCCAGAAUGCGCCCGAUCCCGUCAGAUCUCAGAAACUAACCAGGGUUGUGCCUGGACAGUGCUUGGAUGUGUGAACAUCGUGCAUAUACCAAAGGUGUUAUAGGCA
This 122-nucleotide ribosomal RNA is filed under the name Petromyzon marinus (sea lamprey). The record is from RNAcentral. Lineage: Eukaryota; Metazoa; Chordata; Hyperoartia; Petromyzontiformes; Petromyzontidae.